This 460-nucleotide ribosomal RNA is filed under the name uncultured bacterium. RNAcentral describes it as "partial 16S ribosomal RNA". It matches the Rfam family "Bacterial small subunit ribosomal RNA", at positions 338 to 795 of the family's 1533-position model. The record is from RNAcentral.
CCUACGGGAGGCAGCAGUGAGGAAUAUUGGUCAAUGGGCGAGAGCCUGAACCAGCCAAGUCGCGAGAAGGAUGCAGGAUCUAUGGUUUGUAAACUUCUUUUAUAUGGGAAUAAAGUGAGGAACGUGUUCCUUUUUGUAUGUACCAUAUGAAUAAGCAUCGGCUAACUUCGUGCCAGCAGCCGAGGUAAUACUGUGGAUGCGAGCGUUAUCCGGAUUUCUUGGGUUUAAAGGGUGCGUAGGUGGUUAAUUAAGUUAGCGGGGAAAGUUUGUGGCUCAACCAUAGAAUUGACGUUGAAACUGGUUGACUUGAGGAUAUUUGCGGUAUGCGGAAUGCGUGGUGUAGCGGUGAAAUCCAUAGAUUUCACGCAGAACUCCGAUUGCGAAGGCAGCUUACUAAACUAUAACUGACACUGAAGCACGAAAGCGUGGGGAUCAAACAGGAUUAGAUACCCCUGUAGUC